UGUGCAGGCGGUUCGGUAAGUUGGGCGUGAAAUCUCCUGGCUUAACUGGGAGAGGUCGUUCAAUACUACCGGGCUAGAGAACAGUAGAGGAAGAUGGAAUUCCCGGUGUAGUGGUGAAAUGCGUAGAUAUCGGGAGGAACACCAGUGGCGAAGGCGAUCUUCUGGACUGUUUCUGACGCUCAGACACGAAAGCUAGGGUAGUAAACG
RNAcentral lists this ribosomal RNA (207 nucleotides) under uncultured bacterium. RNAcentral describes it as "partial 16S ribosomal RNA". It matches the Rfam family "Bacterial small subunit ribosomal RNA", at positions 568 to 774 of the family's 1533-position model. The record is from RNAcentral.